GAUCAUGGCUCAGAACGAACGCUGGCGGCAGGCCUCAAACAUGCAAGUCUAGGGGGUGUAGCAAUACAUCACCGGCGGACGGGUGCGUAACGCGUGGGAAUAUACCUAUCGAUUCGGAACAUACCCUAGAGUGGGGGAUAACGUAGCGAAAGUUACGCUAAUACCGCAUACGAUCUAAGGAUGAAAGUGGGGGAUCUUCGGACCUCAUGCUCAUGGAGUGGCCGAUAUCUGAUUAGCUAGUUGGUGAGGUAAAGGCUCACCAAGGCGACGAUCAGUAGCUGGUUUGAGAGAACGACCAGCCACACUGGAACUGAGACACGGUCCAGACUCCUACGGGAGGCAGCAGUGGGGAAUUUUGGACAAUGGGGGCAACCCUGAUCCAGCAAUGCCGCGUGAGUGAAGAAGGCCUUCGGGUUGUAAAGCUCUUUUGUCAGGGAAGAAACGGUGAGUUCUAAUACAGCUUGCUAAUGACGGUACCUGAAGAAUAAGCACCGGCUAACUACGUG
RNAcentral lists this ribosomal RNA (506 nucleotides) under uncultured bacterium. RNAcentral's name for it is "bacterial SSU rRNA". It matches the Rfam family "Bacterial small subunit ribosomal RNA", at positions 15 to 507 of the family's 1533-position model. The record is from RNAcentral.